Molecule: non-coding RNA, 114 nt
Organism: Acanthosepion pharaonis
Lineage: Eukaryota; Metazoa; Mollusca; Cephalopoda; Sepiida; Sepiidae
Source: the annotation of a GenBank genome assembly
CUAUGGCCAUAUCAUGCUGAAACACCAUUUCCUAUACAAUCAAUGAAAUUAAGCAAUGUUGAACCUGGUCAGUACCUAGAUGGGUGACUGCUUUGGAAUACCAGGUGUUGUAAG